This 4560-nucleotide unclassified non-coding RNA is filed under the name Apis dorsata (giant honeybee). RNAcentral's name for it is "focadhesin, transcript variant X1". Lineage: Eukaryota; Metazoa; Arthropoda; Insecta; Hymenoptera; Apidae. The record is from RNAcentral.
UAUUAUUAUUAAUAUUUCUACAAUUUCAUGCAUAGUUGUACAAAAAAAUAUCAUAUCUAAUUCUAUUUGAGAACCCUUAUGAAAAGUGGCAUUGAAAGUAUGUGUUCGCAACGACACGAUAUGUAUUUAUUCUUUCCAUAUUAUUAUUCUUAACCGUGCGAGAGAUGUAAUCGUGCUCUUUUAAAAUUUCUUUCUACAAUACAUAUGUUCUUAAUAUAUAAAUAGUAUAAAUAAAUUAUUCUUAUUUUCAUAUUAUAAAUGACUGUAAACUACGAAUAAUACAUGUUAACACGUAUUAUUACAAAAUAUGUUUUAACGAUACAAGGUUAUGUUUUAUAACCUACUCAUAUGCACGCGACAACUUCUAUUAUUCCUAAUAUUUAUUAAUAGUAUUGUUACUGUGGAAGUAGCAAUAAUAUUUUUAGCGUAAUGAAACAUGAAUUUUAUCGCACAUUUUCUUUAAGGAUAAAAAUAUGUGAAAUUAAUACGUAAAAGAAUUUUUUUAAACCAUAUUUAACUUUACAAGAUGAAUGAAAUAGAAUAUAAAUUAGAAUCUACGAAUCCUGUUUUAAUAUCACACGCAACAUCCAAACUGUUCGAAUCCAUAAAGAAAAAAAAAUGUGAUCGAGAGACGGAUCAUAUAUCAAAGAUAGCUGAAUUUAAAUUAUUACUAUCAAAACGAGACAGUACAAAUGUCACGCUUAGCAUAUCAGCCUGUCAAGCAUUGAUUGCUUUGGUCGAAAAUGGAUUAUGGGAUAUUAACGAGGCAUUAUCUACUUUUACCUCGAGCAUCUCCUCCAUAAAAAAUUAUAUGGUUGCCACUACAACAAUAAGUCAUUUAUUGAUACUGGAUUUAAAACGCGAUUCAAAAAAUAAAAUUAUGUAUCCAUUUACUUUACACACGCCACAGCAUCCGUUUAUAAGCAUUUUAAUUCGAGAUAAACGUAGCUGGCAGACUGUAUUAAGUCAAAUAACAUUUAUUAUGAAUCAUCAAGAUUAUAGAAUUAAAGAAAAUAGUAUAAAAAUGCUACGCCCUGUAUUUUUAUAUAUUUUAUGCAAUCCUUUGUUGGAUUCUAUGGAUUGUUGCAUGCAACAAGUUUGGCAAUUGUUAAUUAGAUCGAAAUACGAUACAAAUGUACAGACAGAAGUUUUACUUUGGUUGUGCACGACAGAAAGUCAUUCUUGUAUAAAUACAAAUUAUAGAAUUUUAGAACUUGCAGAGAAAGCUUUAUCAGAGAAGGAUAAAGAACAUUGUACCGCUUUAUUGCCAAUGAUCGCAUCUUUGAUCAUACAAUUAUUAAAAAAAGAUUCUGAUCCAAGAUCGAAUUUCGAUGUUAUAUUAAAUAUUAUAGACUAUUGUGAUAACUAUAUUGGAAAUCUUAUGUUGAUAUUGAUGGCAGAAGUAAUUACUUUAUGUCCGGCUAUUUAUUUGUACAACGCUUUGCAAAUAUGUAUGAUGAUAACAAAGAAAAUGUCUUAUGAUGAUAUAUUUUUUAGCGCUUUGAAGGCAUCUGUGAUAAAAUGGAUGGCAUAUCCAUCCGUAUUAUGUUCCGAGGCAUUAGAUUUAGCAAAGGAUUUAACGAACAAAAUAUUCACAAAAACGAACUUAACCUGUAACGUAGAGACGUUACUUUCAAACAAACUUUUUACGGUAUUCAGUCAUUCCGAUUCAUAUAUUCAAUUCUAUUCAGAACUGGUGAUGCAUUGUUCGAAUAUUUGGAAUUCGAAUGACAUUUUAUCCUGGUUAAGAAAUAUAUCAAGUGUACCCGUUUAUUUAAAAGACAAAUGUAAAUUAUUGAUAUCCGGUCUUCUCUUACAAUCAAACGAACCUUUAAUAGUCGAAUUAUGUUGUAACAUAUUGGUUGAUGUCAGCAGAGAAACAAAUAGUUUUGGCUCGCACGUACUUUCUUUGAUAUUGCACAAAUUAACCAAAUGUAAAAGCAGUACGGAGACAAAAUGUUUACUAGCGGUUAUACCUGAGCUUGUAAGUACAAAAGAAAAUGUUCCAAUUAUAAACCAUACAUUGAACAUGUUGUUGAACGGUGAAAAACAAUUGAAAUAUUUUAUAAUCGAAUUAUAUCUUAAAACAUUGAAAAAAGAACCAAGAUGUUACAGAUUCGUUUCCGCCGCGAUAAUACAAUUGAUGAAAAACGAUUAUUCUUGGUAUUCGGAUGCAACCUGCGCUAGAGCUAUGAAAUAUAUUUGUGAGAAUUGUCCCGAGCAUGGCGAAAAUUUGGUACCAUUGUUGUCGCAAAUAUUAAAUCGUUCAACGAACACGAAUGGUGGAACUGCGAGUGCACUCGCACUUGGAUGUAUUUCUAUACUUUGCAAGGCAUCCGUAAUAGAUAUUUGUUCAACGUGGAGAGUACUAGCUCCGAAAAUGGAAAAAGAGAAACGUCCUAUCGUCUUGGAAAGCCUAUGCGAAUUAUUUGCCGACGCUGCAUUUUACACACCAUCGCAAGGCCUUGAAGAAUACGAUCGCUUGAUCGAUAAUAUCAUAUCGAAAUUGUGGACAUACACAACAUCUAAUGAUAUAAAGGUAAUCAACUCUGCACUCAAAGCCCUAGCUUCGUAUCGUUUGGAGCAAUUAUCUUUGAAAACACUACCGUUGGAAUUUAGAUGUAAUCUCGUAUUACCUGCAACAUAUGCGAAAACUCCAGUCGACGCGAUUAAAAAACCAGAAGAUAUAUUUCCCUAUAUACCUGGUACUUGUUGGAUACAAAUGCUUCAAAAUAUAAAUAAAACUGUUUUACCGACAGCUGGAAAUCUUUUAAUAUCUUUUGUGACGGAAGAAGUAAAUAGUUUCCGAUCUGGCAUUUACGUUUGGCCCCAAGGGGAACCGCAAAACUUUAAGUAUUUGCCAGAAAAAAGCGUAAUCAGAGCGAUUGGUGAAUAUUUGAGGAAAUGUAACAAAAUUGAUUCAAAUAAUCAUCGUAUUAUUACGGAAUGUUUACGAAUAUUUGCUCACAAAUAUCCGAAACCAUUGCCCAAUAUUAAUUGGAAUUUUCUAAAGAACAUGCUUGAUCUGUCAAGCGAAACAAAACAAUAUAUUCUUUCCAUCGUGUGUCAUCAUGCAACGAUAUCUUUAUCUGCUAAAUCUUUUAUAGAGAAUUAUCUAUCGAUGUAUAAAACAAUAAACGAUACAGAUUUUAAUUGGAAAAACAAUGAACACUCUGUGUUAUAUUCGAAUCUCGAAGAUUUGUGCCAAGCUGUACAACCGAAUAUCAUUAAACCGUUUUUAGAUAUAACGUUGAAACAUGUAAUUGAAAAAAUGGAUGUCGGUAAUAAAAAUUCGAUAGAAUUGUUCCAUUCUAUUAUGUAUUCGUAUGCUCAAACGUUAAAAAAUCCAGAAGUAUGUCAUGCUAAUUCUACAUUACUUUCUACGAUAUUAGAGGAACUUUUGGACAAAAUAGAUUUAACGUGCGAUCAGUUUUAUUCUUAUUUCGCAGCAGCAUUGGAAUUACCAAUGAAACAUUUAGAGAGAAUGACAUCUCCUAAAGUAUGGUGGGAAACAAUACCAGGUAAAUUGAAAAAUGCAAUCGCGAUCAGAGGUGAAUUGGUUUUAAAGAAACAUAAUUCCGAAGCUUCUUUAACAUGGUUGAACGAAAUCAUCGAUGAAACUAUUGCCUCUACAUUUAGUGUGCAAAUAUAUUUCCUAAAAAUUAUACGAAAUGUGUUGAUCAAUAUGCAAAUUGAAAGAUCCAGUUUAAAUUGGAUUCUCGAUCUUAUGACACAAGUUCAAGGAUUUUUUAUGGAAUCACAGCAAAAUCAUUUUGAUAAAAUACAAUUCUAUUGUGAUAUUUUAUUCGUCUCUAUUAUUAGUUUAUCUGGCAUAGAUUCCAUGUUAAUGAAAGAAGAUUUAUUAAUUAAAUCGCAAAAUAUUAAAAUAAAAUUAUUUCCUCAAGCUCUAACAAUUAUUUUUGAAAGACAGGAUUGGAAGUAUGCAAUUCCACAGAUGAUGGAAUGGUUAAAUUACAUGAGAAUGAGUAAUAUUUCUAGUUCGUAUAAAUCCACAUUUCAUCGAGCAUUAAUUUGUUUAAGACAUAAUUCCUAUUAUAAAGAUGUAUGGACUAAAUAUUUAUCGAUUAAAACAGAAAUCGAUAUUUAAUCGUAAUCUGGUACAUGUUAGACUGAAACAACUUCUAUUGCAAAAAAUCUGUUCGUAACAACUGCAAAUUUAAGAUGAUACGAAAUUAAAAGGAAAAACAUAUUUCUGGAAUAUUAUUAUAAUAAAAAUUAAAUAUGUAUUUUACUUACUUGCAAUUUCGUAUAGUGUAGAAAUUAGCAAUUAUGAAACAACUAUUCGUCACAUAUGUUGUAUGUGACGAUUUUCAUAAUGCUAAACAGAUGUUUCAUUAUUAUCCAGCAUCAUUACCGUUAAUGUAUUUGGUCGUGAACCAGUCAAUGUUUGAUCUUCGGGUGUACGACUUGGACUAGAUUUUCUACUGCUCGGAUACGAUUUUAACAAACGGGCCCUAUGAAAACAUUAAGAACAAUUUUUCAUUUUUCAACAAUUUGUAUUCUAUCAUGAUAAGUUGCAAUAAAUGUUCUAAUUGUAAA